This is a long non-coding RNA of Beta vulgaris subsp. vulgaris (sugar beet), 699 nucleotides long. RefSeq lists it as uncharacterized. NCBI's taxonomy places the organism in Eukaryota, Viridiplantae, Streptophyta, Magnoliopsida, Caryophyllales, Amaranthaceae. The transcript is spliced from 4 exons. The record is from RefSeq and is a predicted model, not a curated record.
CUUGGGAAAGGUGCAUAAUGUGUUCCAUGUAUCCCAACUAAAGAGAUAUGUGCCCGAUAAGUCUCACGUAUUAGAUCCCGAGAUUAUAGAAGUGGAUGAGACGCUUUCUUUUGAAGAGAGACCAGUAAAGAUCUUGGACUCUAAGGUGAGGAGUACAAGAAAUAAAGAUAUAAAAUACUCAAGGUUUUGUGGUCUAACCAGCGUACCGAAGAGGCUACCUGGGAGGCUGAAGACGAGAUGAGAAAGAAGUAUCCUGAGCUCUUCGACUAGGAAGAUCUUGCAAAUAUCAAAGGGAAGCAAAGAGGUUUCAAGAAUAAUUAAAGCCAGUCAAACUUUUGACUGUUGAUUUUUGUGUAAUCAAGAGUUUAGAGAAGAAGUUUCAGGUACAAGUUCUUGAUGUGCAUGGAAAUCAUAAGCAUCCGGAUGGGAGUUUUAGUACACGAGUACUUUCUUAUUUAAGUUAUCUUGAAUUUUAUAUUUGACUUUACUUGACCAAUGGGGUCAAGGUUUGACUUUUGAAUAUGGGACUAGUAUGGGAUAGUCUCGGAAUUUGUAAUUCAUUUACAUACUUUCUUAUUUCCGUUGUAUUAAAGUAUUUUCAGUUUAUCUUAAAAGACUUCCGCUGUAUUAUCUGAUUAGCCUUACGUAUUAUCAUGCGUGGCAUAACAACUCCCGCAAUUUCUCCUAGUUUAUAAAAGG